UGCGGAGGAAAAGAAACUAACAAGGAUUCCCCUAGUAACGGCGAGUGAAGCGGGAAGAGCUCAAAUUUGAAAUCUGGUAGCCUUCGGUUGCCCGAGUUGUAAUCUAGAGAAAUGUUUUCCGUGCCGGCCCAUGUACAAGUCCCUUGGAACAGGGCGUCAUAGAGGGUGAGAAUCCCGUCCUUGACAUGGACCCCCGGUGCUUUGUGAUACAUUUUCAACGAGUCGAGUUGUUUGGGAAUGCAGCUCAAAAUGGGUGGUGAAUUCCAUCUAAAGCUAAAUAUUGGCGAGAGACCGAUAGCGAACAAGUACCGUGAGGGAAAGAUGAAAAGCACUUUGGAAAGAGAGUUAAACAGUACGUGAAAUUGUUGAAAGGGAAACGAUUGAAGUCAGUCAUGCUCUUUGGUAUUUAUAUCAUUGAGUGGGGUCAACAUCAGUUUUGAUCGAUGGAUAAAGGCACUAGGAAGGUAGCACUCUCGGGUGAACUUAUAGCCUAGCGUCAUAUACAUUGAUUGGGACUGAGGAACGCAGCAUGCCUUUAUGGCCGGGAUUCGUCCACGUACAUGCUUAGGAUGUUGACAUAAUGGCUUUAAACGACCCGUCUUGAAAA
This 607-nucleotide ribosomal RNA is filed under the name Naganishia albidosimilis. RNAcentral's name for it is "eukaryotic LSU rRNA". It matches the Rfam family "Eukaryotic large subunit ribosomal RNA", at positions 49 to 660 of the family's 3401-position model. The record is from RNAcentral. Lineage: Eukaryota; Fungi; Basidiomycota; Tremellomycetes; Filobasidiales; Filobasidiaceae.